ACGAACGCUGGCGGCGUGCUUAACACAUGCAAGUCGAACGGAAGGGCCCUGCUUUUGUGGGGUGCUCGAGUGGCGAACGGGUGAGUAACACGUGAGUAACCUGCCCUUGACUUUGGGAUAACUUCAGGAAACUGGGGCUAAUACCGGAUAGGAGCUCCUGCUGCAUGGUGGGGGUUGGAAAGUUUCGGCGGUUGGGGAUGGACUCGCGGCUUAUCAGCUUGUUGGUGGGGUAGUGGCUUACCAAGGCUUUGACGGGUAGCCGGCCUGAGAGGGUGACCGGCCACAUUGGGACUGAGAUACGGCCCAGACUCCUACGGGAGGCAGCAGUGGGGAAUAUUGCACAAUGGGCGGAAGCCUGAUGCAGCAACGCCGCGUGCGGGAUGACGGCCUUCGGGUUGUAAACCGCUUUCGACUGUGACGAAGCGUGAGUGACGGUAAUGGGUAAAGAAGCACCGGCUAACUACGUG
Molecule: ribosomal RNA, 467 nt
Filed under: uncultured bacterium
Lineage: Bacteria
Description: partial 16S ribosomal RNA
Rfam family: Bacterial small subunit ribosomal RNA
Source: RNAcentral